AUUGAACGCUGGCGGCAUGCUUUACACAUGCCAGUCGAACGGCAGCGCGGGCUUCGGCCUGGCGGCGAGUGGCGAACGGGUGAGUAAUGCAUCGGAACGUGCCCAGUAGUGGGGGAUAGCCCGGCGAAAGCCGGAUUAAUACCGCAUACGACCUGAGGGUGAAAGCGGGGGACCGAAAGGCCUCGCGCUAUUGGAGCGGCCGAUGUCGGAUUAGCUAGUUGGUGGGGUAAAGGCUUACCAAGGCGAUGAUCCGUAGCUGGUCUGAGAGGACGACCAGCCACACUGGGACUGAGACACGGCCCAGACUCCUACGGGAGGCAGCAGUGGGGAAUUUUGGACAAUGGGGGCAACCCUGAUCCAGCCAUGCCGCGUGCGGGAAGAAGGCCUUCGGGUUGUAAACCGCUUUUGUUCGGGAAGAAAUCCUCUGGGCUAAUACCCCGGGGGGAUGACGGUACCGGAAGAAUAAGCACCGGCUAACUACGUG
Molecule: ribosomal RNA, 484 nt
Filed under: uncultured bacterium
Lineage: Bacteria
Description: partial 16S ribosomal RNA
Rfam family: Bacterial small subunit ribosomal RNA
Source: RNAcentral